UUAAAGUUGGUUCUCUCAAUCGAUUGAUUUAUGGUUUUGGCAAAAAAAGAGAAAAUGAGCUUCGAGAGUAUAAGAGCAUCUUCAUCAGUAGUCUAUCACAUAGUUUCUUAUUAACUAAAAAAUAUAAAAUAAUAAUAAAGUAGGAGAAAGAUAGGAGAGAAAUUGAGAAUAGUUUAUCUACAGAGAAACUUUACAGUAAUGAUUGAGAGACUAUGUGUAUAUGUGUGUAUUUAUAAUUGGACAGAAGCUAAAUCAUAAUAAAAUAUCAUUAUUU
This 274-nucleotide small RNA is filed under the name Arabidopsis thaliana (thale cress). Its description in RNAcentral is "ATSL014610". Lineage: Eukaryota; Viridiplantae; Streptophyta; Magnoliopsida; Brassicales; Brassicaceae. The record is from RNAcentral.